Molecule: ribosomal RNA, 426 nt
Filed under: uncultured bacterium
Lineage: Bacteria
Description: partial 16S ribosomal RNA
Rfam family: Bacterial small subunit ribosomal RNA
Source: RNAcentral
GUGAGGAAUUUUCCGCAAUGGGCGAAAGCCUGACGGAGCAAUGCCGCGUGAAGGAUGAAGGCCUAUGGGUUGUAAACUUCUUUUCUCAGAAAAGAAUUAUGACGGUAUCUGAGGAAUAAGCAUCGGCUAACUCUGUGCCAGCAGCCGCGGUAAGACAGAGGAUGCAAGCGUUAUCCGGAAUGAUUGGGCGUAAAGCGUCUGUAGGUUGUUUAAAAAGUAUUCUGUCAAAGAUUAGGGCUUAACCCUAGAUAGGCAGAAUAAACUUUUAAGCUAGAGUUUGGUAGAGGCAGAGGGAAUUCCCGGUGGAGCGGUGAAAUGCGUAGAUAUCGGGAGGAACACCAAAGGCGAAGGCACUCUGCUGGGCCAAUACUAACACUGAGAGACGAAAGCGAGGGGAGCAAAUGGGAUUAGAUACCUGUGUAGUCC